RNAcentral lists this transfer RNA (85 nucleotides) under Pseudomonadota bacterium. RNAcentral describes it as "Proteobacteria bacterium (activated sludge metagenome) tRNA-Leu". It matches the Rfam family "tRNA". Rfam says of the family: Transfer RNA (tRNA) molecules are approximately 80 nucleotides in length. Their secondary structure includes four short double-helical elements and three loops (D, anti-codon, and T loops). Further hydrogen bonds mediate the characteristic L-shaped molecular structure. tRNAs have two regions of fundamental functional importance: the anti-codon, which is responsible for specific mRNA codon recognition, and the 3' end, to which the tRNAs corresponding amino acid is attached (by aminoacyl-tRNA synthetases). tRNAs cope with the degeneracy of the genetic code in two manners: having more than one tRNA (with a specific anti-codon) for a particular amino acid; and 'wobble' base-pairing, i.e. permitting non-standard base-pairing at the 3rd anti-codon position. The record is from RNAcentral. Lineage: Bacteria; Pseudomonadati; Pseudomonadota.
GCCGACGUGGUGGAAUUGGUAGACACACCAUCUUGAGGGGCUAGCGGAGCAAUCCGUGGGAGUUCGAGUCUCCCCGUCGGCACCA